GGAAUAUAAGAAUCCGUCUCUUAACUUUUAACUAAAAAAGUUAAGAACUGGUUCUUAAAACUUUUUAAGAACUAGUUCUUAACUUUUUUAGUUAAAAGUUAAGAGACGAAUUCUUAUAUUUC
This is a microRNA precursor of Brassica oleracea var. oleracea, 122 nucleotides long. It matches the Rfam family "MIR9563 microRNA precursor family". The record is from Rfam. NCBI's taxonomy places the organism in Eukaryota, Viridiplantae, Streptophyta, Magnoliopsida, Brassicales, Brassicaceae.